Molecule: ribosomal RNA, 492 nt
Filed under: uncultured bacterium
Lineage: Bacteria
Description: partial 16S ribosomal RNA
Rfam family: Bacterial small subunit ribosomal RNA
Source: RNAcentral
AGUGAACGCUGGCGGUAGGCCUAACACAUGCAAGUCGAACGGCAGCACAGUAAGAGCUUGCUCUUACGGGUGGCGAGUGGCGGACGGGUGAGGAAUACAUCGGAAUCUACUUUUUCGUGGGGGAUAACGUAGGGAAACUUACGCUAAUACCGCAUACGACCUACGGGUGAAAGCAGGGGAUCUUCGGACCUUGCGCGAUUGAAUGAGCCGGUGUCGGAUUAGCUAGUUGGCGGGGUAAAGGCCCACCAAGGCGACGAUCCGUAGCUGGUCUGAGAGGAUGAUCAGCCACACUGGAACUGAGACGCGGUCCAGGCUCCUACGGGAGGCAGCAGUGGGGAAUAUUGGACAAUGGGCGCAAGCCUGAUCCAGCCAUACGGCGUGGGUGAAGAAGGCCUUCGGGUUGUAAAGCCCUUUUGUUGGGAAAGAAAAGCAGCAGGUUAAUACCCCGCUGUUCUGACGGUACCCAAAGAAUAAGCACCGGCUAACUUCGUG